CGAGUGCUCCAAGCGUUAUCCGGAAUUAUUGGGCGUAAAGGGUGUGUAGGCGGUUGUGUUAGUCUUUUGUUAAAUUCUUCGGCUUAACCGGGGGCAUGCGAAAGAAACGGCACAACUAGAGGAUGCGAGAGGUAUAUGGAACUCAUGGAGUAGGGGUGAAAUCCGUUGAUAUCAUGGGGAACACCAAAAGCGAAGGCAAUAUACUGGCGCACUCCUGACGCUGAAACACGAAAGCGUAGGUAGCGAAUGGGAUUAGAUACCCCAGUAGUCUACGCCCUAAACGAUGACAACUAGCUUUUCGGAGUAUCGACCCUCUGAGAGGCGAAGCUAACGCGUUAAGUUGUCCGCCUGGGUAGUACGGCCGCAAGGCUA
Molecule: ribosomal RNA, 372 nt
Filed under: uncultured organism
Description: bacterial SSU rRNA
Rfam family: Bacterial small subunit ribosomal RNA
Source: RNAcentral